This 253-nucleotide ribosomal RNA is filed under the name uncultured bacterium. RNAcentral describes it as "partial 16S ribosomal RNA". It matches the Rfam family "Bacterial small subunit ribosomal RNA", at positions 524 to 776 of the family's 1533-position model. The record is from RNAcentral.
UACGGGGGGGGCAAGCGUUGUUCGGAAUUACUGGGCGUAAAGGGCUCGUAGGUGGCCAACUAAGUCAGACGUGAAAUCCCUCGGCUUAACCGGGGAACUGCGGCUGAUACUGGAUGGCUUGAGUUUGGGAGAGGGAUGCGGAAUUCCAGGUGUAGCGGUGAAAUGCGUAGAUAUCUGGAGGAACACCGGUGGCGAAGGCGGCAUCCUGGACCAACACUGACACUGAGGAGCGAAAGCCAGGGGAGCAAACGGG